GCCUACGGGGCGCAGCAGUAGGGAAUCUUCCACAAUGGACGAAAGUCUGAUGGAGCAACGCCGCGUGAGUGAAGAAGGGUUUCGGCUCGUAAAGCUCUGUUGGUAGUGAAGAAAGAUAGAGGUAGUAACUGGCCUUUAUUUGACGGUAAUUACUUAGAAAGUCACGGCUAACUACGUGCCAGCAGCCGCGGUAAUACGUAGGUGGCAAGCGUUGUCCGGAUUUAUUGGGCGUAAAGCGAGUGCAGGCGGUGCAAUAAGGCUGAUGUGAGAAGCUUUGGCUCAAC
This 284-nucleotide ribosomal RNA is filed under the name uncultured bacterium. Its description in RNAcentral is "partial 16S ribosomal RNA". It matches the Rfam family "Bacterial small subunit ribosomal RNA", at positions 337 to 613 of the family's 1533-position model. The record is from RNAcentral.